AUGUCUUAAGAAGCAGCCUCUAGUCCAAGUCUCAGAGAUGAAGUCAGCUAUACUCCUGAUAUGGACAUUGCUAUUCUGGGUUCCAGGUUCUACUUGGAACAUUGUGCUGACCCAGUCUCCAGCUUCCUUGGCUGUGAUUCUGGGACAAAAGGCCACCAUCUCCUGCACGGCCAGUGAGAGUGUCAAUAAAUUUGGCAUAAAUCUUAUGCAUUGGUAUCAACAGAAACCAGGACAGCUUCCCAAAAUCCUGAUCUAUAAUGAAUUCAGUCGAGCACCUGGGAUCCCUGCCAGGUUCAGUGGUGAUGAGGCUGAAUUAAACUUCACCCUCACCAUUGAGCCUGUGGAAGCUGAUGAUGUUGCAACUUAUUACUGUCAGCAAGGACUAACAUUUCCUCUCACAGCCCUCUAUGCCUAAGCAAAAACCUCCCAGGUUUGCUACACACUGAGGCUCAAUUUCUCAGUUGUCUUUCCCCUGAGACUUCUCAACUAGGACUCUGUAGAUGGCUUGUUUGAAAAAGGAAAUGAAUGCAAAACAGAAAAUU
Rattus norvegicus (Norway rat) is the source of this 542-nucleotide non-coding RNA. Lineage: Eukaryota; Metazoa; Chordata; Mammalia; Rodentia; Muridae. The record is from the annotation of a RefSeq genome assembly.